Molecule: ribosomal RNA, 855 nt
Filed under: uncultured Acidovorax sp.
Lineage: Bacteria; Pseudomonadati; Pseudomonadota; Betaproteobacteria; Burkholderiales; Comamonadaceae
Description: bacterial SSU rRNA
Rfam family: Bacterial small subunit ribosomal RNA
Source: RNAcentral
AUUGAACGCUGGCGGCAUGCCUUACACAUGCAAGUCGAACGGUAACAGGUCUUCGGAUGCUGACGAGUGGCGAACGGGUGAGUAAUACAUCGGAACGUGCCCGAUCGUGGGGGAUAACGGAGCGAAAGCUUUGCUAAUACCGCAUACGAUCUACGGAUGAAAGCAGGGGACCGCAAGGCCUUGCGCGGACGGAGCGGCCGAUGGCAGAUUAGGUAGUUGGUGGGAUAAAAGCUUACCAAGCCGACGAUCUGUAGCUGGUCUGAGAGGACGACCAGCCACACUGGGACUGAGACACGGCCCAGACUCCUACGGGAGGCAGCAGUGGGGAAUUUUGGACAAUGGGCGCAAGCCUGAUCCAGCCAUGCCGCGUGCAGGAUGAAGGCCUUCGGGUUGUAAACUGCUUUUGUACGGAACGAAACGGCUCUUUCUAAUAAAGAGGGCUAAUGACGGUACCGUAAGAAUAAGCACCGGCUAACUACGUGCCAGCAGCCGCGGUAAUACGUAGGGUGCGAGCGUUAAUCGGAAUUACUGGGCGUAAAGCGUGCGCAGGCGGUGAUGUAAGACAGAUGUGAAAUCCCCGGGCUCAACCUGGGAACUGCAUUUGUGACUGCAUCGCUGGAGUGCGGCAGAGGGGGAUGGAAUUCCGCGUGUAGCAGUGAAAUGCGUAGAUAUGCGGAGGAACACCGAUGGCGAAGGCAAUCCCCUGGGCCUGCACUGACGCUCAUGCACGAAAGCGUGGGGAGCAAACAGGAUUAGAUACUCUGGUAGUCCACGCCCUAAACGAUGUCAACUGGUUGUUGGGAAUUCACUUUCUCAGUAACGAAGCUACGCGUGAAGUUGACCGCCUGGGGAGUA